Molecule: long non-coding RNA, 1945 nt
Organism: Athene cunicularia (burrowing owl)
Lineage: Eukaryota; Metazoa; Chordata; Aves; Strigiformes; Strigidae
Exons: 3
Source: RefSeq, a predicted model, not a curated record
GGUCUUCAACAUGGUUGGCACUGCCACAGCUACCUUCCUGCAUGCGGCUCAGUGCGACGUAAAUAAUUGGUUCCGGCUAAUAACAAAUCCUCGUCUCGAUUUCAUUGGCUUGUAUCUUGGGCGACGCAAGAAACAUUCUGUAAUGGCUCAAAAUAUCCCUACUGGAUAAUAAUGCAGCGAUGUGGAAGAUGGACCCCAGAGGAGGGCAGAGCAUGGAGGAGCCCGGCCAGGGGAGCCCGACCAGGGGGCCCCCUCAGGUGCCGUGCAGCAGCUGGUGUUGUGAAUCAGGCCGUCACCAGUCGGAGAACGGCUACUUCACAACACCAGGGUCGCACCGCACCACGUUUCAACCGCUGGCCAGAGAGGAGCCGAGGAUCCUGCAGGCAGGCAGGGGAUGUGGAGCACCUCCUGGCUGCCUCUGCCCAAGCCCAGACCUGCAAAGGUAAUCAGGUGCUCAACUCCUAUUUAGGCACCAGCCUCCCACUGAAGUCUGAAAUAGAAGUUAGGCCCCUAAAUAUCUCUGUGGGUCUGGCCCCGAGACCCUGCCUUGCUGUGCAGUGCAGAGCAGUGCUGCAGCAGGCACAGGGCAGUGCUGUCAGUGACACAGUCACUGCCUGUUUGCAUGCCAUGUGAAUGUUAAAUAACAGGUAACUUUUAUUAAGCUGUGGUAAAUAGUAAAAAAAAAAAAAAAGCCUCUGCAUGCUCCAUGUGUAGUUUUCCCUGACAGUCAUGUUUGUGGGUCUUGCCUGUGACUUGUCCUAAUUCCUUCCCUAUCUAGACACCUGAUCACAUGUUCUCUGUAAAACAUUCUGUACAUACCAGGAAAGAAGCCAGACUCCUUGGAAAUGACACCAAAACAGCCCUAGGUGUGUUGUAAUGAAUGAAAAAACACUAAAAAUAAACAGUGGGGUUGUCCAGAAGUGGUACCAACAGCUGCUGUCCUUAAAAUGGAGAAAAUGUUUGAUUUUGGAUUGCUUAAGCAACCCCUCAUAAAUUAAUAGGUGUAGAGGGACAGCAAAGCACACUCAAACGGACCCUGUCUGGAGUGGCCCUGUAACACGUGCCAUACGUUUCAGGUCUGAAAUGCAGGCUCUUCCCUGCCUCCUCCCUUGUACCACAGUGCCAGUGUGAUGUUAGUUUGAGGGCAGCAGCUACAGCAGAGUGCUUUCCACCCAAAACCGGGUCAUGUUCAUGGAGGUCAGCGCAAAGUUUAAGUCAAUCUUCUAAGUCAAACUGAAAUGCUGUUCAGUUUCGAUCUCUGAAAGCAGCCAUCUGCUCUUGGACUCGGGAGGGGGUUUUCUCUGGUGGGUUUUCCCUUCCUCCCACCCCCAAGAUGGACUGGCUGUAUGCUUUGGCUGGCUGUUCUCUUGUAUGACAUGAAACACUGGAUAUGUCUAAAGCAAGGAGUGGAGAAAUGCAGAGAACAAACUAUCAAGGUAACGUAGAACUGAUGAGGGAUUUUUUGAAAGUUUUCUUUGUUAUCUUAACUCAUCUGAUUGAAGCUGGCAGUAAAAAUUAAUGAAAUGCCAUCCUGGGUGUAUGAUUGCUGGCAGGAAGUAGACAUGGGGGAGGGCCAGGAUAUACACAAUAUCAAAAAUAGUAUGGGACAGCCUGGAAUAGCAAACGAGACAAAGGUGGUUACAUUAGACCCAGCCUAAUCUUUCUGUUCAGCUUGGCUUCCCACAGAAGUAACCCUGAAUUCCCUUCACAGCAAAAAGUCCACAACCAACACCAUGAACAAUGUUAAGAGAUGUAUGGGAGGCUCACUUGUAUAUUAGGAGAGGUCAGCCUGUUGAUACAGGCUUGCAUUGGCUUUUUUCAUCGAUUAGAGGAAAAAGCAAGACUCCGUUUCUAGUUCAGGGACUAUGGCAAGGAGAGUAUGAAUUUGUCAACCCAACAUGCAAGAAGUCUGUUUUAUUAAACUUGUUCUCUGCUGACACAAACC